ACCCCAAAACAAAGAGAUAGAAAUGCAUUUCUCAGUCUUAUAUCUUUAUAUUCAUUUAAAACAAUGGCCUAUUUUUACUGUUCUAGAUUUAAUGAAGAAUAGACUAUUACAGUUAAUUUCCCCAAGUACUCAGGAAAAAAAAAAAAAACACUUGAUGAAAAGCACAGCAGCACAAAGUGUGUGUCAGGACAGGCACAGUGAGAAUCUAAUGGGAGCCAUAAGCCAAAGUGACCCUUGACACACAUGCUGCCUUACUUGGGCUUCUCUCCUCUUUUCCUAGAUCUAGGUCUUGCUUAAGUCUCCAUUGCACUGAACCUCUUCUCAGAAAUCAGGUAACCGAGCUGCAGUUAGGCAGUUAGGCAAGAAUAGAUAGAUAAUCCCCAUAGCAACAUUCCCUGCUGACUGAACAACCCAUGAUUAAAGUCCCCUCCCUGAUUUCACCCCCCCUUUGCCCCCGCCUAUAUCUGCCUUAAGAGGAAAAUAAAAUUUUGGAGCUUGAUCAGACAUCCUGUCUUGUUCUCAUCUUUGUGUCUCUUGUCCCUCUCAUUUGCCGGCCCUCCCUUCAGGUCCCCAUUGAAGACACUGCUGGCCAGGGCAAGAAUCCAUUCCCAGUAUUUAUAGUUGCCGAAAAGUUGGAAAGAAAUAAUUAAUUAACCUUAACAGGACAACUUUCCCCUCAGCUUGUGCUCUCUUUUGCUCUGUAUUUUUGAAUUCUGUUUUGGGGAAGCUUCCUUAAACCAGGCUGUUGAUGAGACUCACCUGGGAGCAUUUGCCCAUGCAAUGUUUGGGUUUUCUCUUAACUAUGAAUUCAGUGCUUUGACAGCAUGACAAUGUCUUUACCACUGUGAGAACAUUUGUAUUAUUCUACCACAUAUUUAUUUUUAACAAAUUGAUAACUGAUGCCCAUGUCUAAAUGUCAUUGUCAACCCCUUUUUUCUCAUUUAUUCUCUUUUCCUCUUACAAUUAGUUCAUUUGGAAAGAUUUAUGUAUCUUUCCUUUUCUAAAAUAAGUGAACACUUUCAUUCUUUUAAUAAUUAUAAGUUCAUGAGGACAAAUUGUUCCUCUGUUCUCUGGCCAAGAAAAGAUCUACUGAGAAGGAUUUGCUAGGCUUCACUCAUGACCUGCUUUACAACCUCCAGGAAGAAUGAAGGAUGCCUUCGUGUCUUAUCUUCCCUUGCAAUCCUCUUAGUCCAUAGAACUCAUCGAUCAUAUAUAAAAUGGGGUCUUCACUGGAAGGCUUUGAGUGAGGAAAUCGAGGUGAACUUUUGAAGGAACAAAACAGCCACAGUCUCUGAACUGUUGUCCUUAACCCAAAUAUCUCUCUGUGUGAGGUAGGUCAAGUGGGGCUCCCAGUGAGACAUCCUUGUGUGUGGUCUUCUCAGGAUUAGUAACCUUCCUAAAAUACUGAUACUGGAGGCUUUUUUAAAAUACAGAUUUAAAUGUCUCCCUUGCCUCCCCUGCUCUCUCUUUCUCAGACACACACACACACACACACACACACACACACACACACACACACACACACACUUGCAGAUAUCCUAUGUUAGUAUUUUUCCACUUCUUUGUUCUGUCUGUCUCUGUCUCUUUGUCUGUCUCUGUCUCUAUUUUUAAUCUCUGGGUGGUCUUCUGUGAUUAUAUUUUAUGACCUUGUUAAAUGAUAUUUUAGAAACAGAUAAAAGUGAAUAUUCUCUUAAUUAGUGGAUGGGUGGAUGGGACUGUUUCCUCAAAAUCAAGAAACUCUGCCAGACUGAUCCCUGGUUGUUUUUAUUUACUGUUCAAGGUAUCGUGUUUACCUACACCAAAGAUUUCUUGUGUAUCUUUCAUAAAAUGUUGGUCUUCUCAAGAGUUAUGUGUCUUCUUCUUUUUUCUGAAUGUUUCUUCAUAAUAUCAGCAUUUACCAGGAAAUAUUCAGUAUGUGGAAUAUAUAGUCCUCAUGGAUAUUGUACCAGAGAGUAUUUACCAGUCUGUGGGACCGAUGGCUAUACUUAUGGCAACAGAUGCAUGUUCUGUAUUGCACACAGACGAAGCCGUGGUUCCAUUAAAUUUAAACAUGAUGGUGAAUGUUGAGUUUUUGAUGGAGCUACAUCUUCCUAUGGAUCUUAUUAUGAUCACAGUUUUGCACUGAAGUCUACAGUGGACUGGAGAUUUUGCCAUCAGGUUCUUAGAAGACUGGGUGAAUCUGUAUCCUGUUUACUGACAAGCCGAAGAUUUCUUGUGUAUCUUCAUAAAAUGUUGGUCUUCUCAAGAGUUAUGUACAUCACCUUGUCAUUUCUUCUUUUUUCUGAAAGUUCUCUAAUAUCAGCAUUUACCUGGAAUGAAUCAGAAUGUAGAAUAUAUAGUCCUCGUGGAUUUUGUACCAAAGAGUAUUUACCAGUCUGUGGGACCGAUGGCUAUACUUAUGGCAACAGAUGUGCUUUCUGUAAUGCACACAGACAAAGCCAUGGUUCCAUUAAAUUUAAACAUGAUGGUAAAUGUUGAGUUUUUGAUGGAGCUACAUCUUCCUAUGAAUAUUAUUAUGAUCACAGUUUUGCACUGAAGUCUACAGUAGAUUGAAGAUUUUGUCAUCAGAUUCUCAUAGCCCUAGAAGAUUGGGUGAAUCUUUGUGUAAGACACAAGUUAGAAGGCUGGGCUGUCACCGCUCUGUUCACUUAUGAGAUCCUGCUAUUUCAACAUUUUACCUUCUGUGGUCAAAUACUUAAUGAGACCCAACAAUCCAAAAUUUUAGUAUCUACAU
Peromyscus maniculatus bairdii (prairie deer mouse) is the source of this 2734-nucleotide non-coding RNA. Lineage: Eukaryota; Metazoa; Chordata; Mammalia; Rodentia; Cricetidae. The record is from RefSeq and is a predicted model, not a curated record.